Molecule: ribosomal RNA, 253 nt
Filed under: uncultured bacterium
Lineage: Bacteria
Description: partial 16S ribosomal RNA
Rfam family: Bacterial small subunit ribosomal RNA
Source: RNAcentral
UACGAAGGGGGCUAGCGUUGUUCGGAAUUACUGGGCGUAAAGCGCACGUAGGCGGACAUUUAAGUCAGGGGUGAAAUCCCGGGGCUCAACCCCGGAACUGCCUUUGAUACUGCAAAUCUCGAGUCCGGAAGAGGUGAGUGGAACUGCGAGUGUAGAGGUGAAAUUCGUAGAUAUUCGCAAGAACACCAGUGGCGAAGGCGGCUCACUGGUCCGGUUCUGACGCUGAGGCGCGAAAGCGUGGGGAGCAAACAGG